RNAcentral lists this ribosomal RNA (482 nucleotides) under uncultured bacterium. RNAcentral describes it as "bacterial SSU rRNA". It matches the Rfam family "Bacterial small subunit ribosomal RNA", at positions 28 to 507 of the family's 1533-position model. The record is from RNAcentral.
GAUGAACGCUAGCGGCAGGCCUAACACAUGCAAGUCGAACGGUAACAGGCCUUCGGGCGCUGACGAGUGGCGGACGGGUGAGUAACGCGUGGGAAUCUGCCUAGUAGUGGGGGACAACCUGGGGAAACUCAGGCUAAUACCGCAUACGCCCUACGGGGAAAGCAGGGGAUCUUCGGACCUUGCGCUAUUAGAUGAGCCUGCGUCGGAUUAGCUUGUUGGUGGGGUAAAGGCCUACCAAGGCGACGAUCCGUAGCUGGUUUGAGAGGACGAUCAGCCACACUGGGACUGAGACACGGCCCAGACUCCUACGGGAGGCAGCAGUAGGGAAUCUUCCGCAAUGGACGAAAGUCUGACGGAGCAACGCCGCGUGAGUGAUGAAGGUUUUCGGAUCGUAAAGUUCUGUUAUGAGGGAAGAACAAGUGCCGUUCGAAUAGGGCGGCACCUUGACGGUACCUCACGAGAAAGCCCCGGCUAACUACGUG